RNAcentral lists this unclassified non-coding RNA (247 nucleotides) under Cortinarius sp. Its description in RNAcentral is "partial contains 5.8S ribosomal RNA, internal transcribed spacer 2, and large subunit ribosomal RNA". The record is from RNAcentral. Lineage: Eukaryota; Fungi; Basidiomycota; Agaricomycetes; Agaricales; Cortinariaceae.
AACGCAUAUGGCACCUUUUGGUCUUUACUGAAAGGUAUGCCUGUUUGAGAAUCAUUUUAUCCCUUUGAUCCUUGUGAUCGCAGAUUGCCGAUCCCUUGGUCAAGACAUGGACCUUCAUCAUUGAUCGUCUUGAAUCUGCACGGAUUGUUCGUGAUAAAGAGGUGCACUUGUUGCGCUGUUGCUGUUGAUCGAUCAAUCCCCUUUACUUAAUGAUCUCAAAUCAGGCAAGACUACCCGCUGAACUUAA